This 481-nucleotide ribosomal RNA is filed under the name uncultured bacterium. RNAcentral describes it as "partial 16S ribosomal RNA". It matches the Rfam family "Bacterial small subunit ribosomal RNA", at positions 28 to 507 of the family's 1533-position model. The record is from RNAcentral.
GAUGAACGCUGGCGGCGUGCUUAACACAUGCAAGUCGAACGAAGCACUUUAUUUGAUUUCCUUCGGGACUGAUUAUUUUGUGACUGAGUGGCGGACGGGUGAGUAACGCGUGGGUAACCUGCCUUGUACAGGGGGAUAACAGUCGGAAACGGCUGAUAAUAUCGCAUAAGCGCCCAGCAUCGCAUGAUGCAGUGGGAAAAAAUCCGGUUGUAUAAGAUGGACCCUCGUUGCGUAAGCUAGUGGGAGAGGUAACGGGCCCCCAAGGCGACGAUCCAUAGCCUGCCUGUGAGGGUCACCCGCCACUUUUGCACUGGGCCACGGCGCAGACUCCUACGCGAUGCAGCAGUGGGUAAUAUUGCACAAUCGGCUAAAUCCUGAUGCAGCUACGCCUCUUGAGCGAAUAAGUAUUUCGGUAUGUAAAGCUCUAUCAGCAGGGAAGAUAAUGACGGUACCUGACGAAGAAGCACCGGCUAACUUCGUG